GCCGGGUGUGGUGGCUCACGCCUGUAAUCCCUGCAGUUUGGGAGGCCGAGGUGGGUGGAUCACCUGAGGUCAGGAGUUAGAGACCAGCCUGGCCAACAUGGUGAAACCCCAUCUCUA
RNAcentral lists this non-coding RNA (117 nucleotides) under Gorilla gorilla gorilla (western lowland gorilla). The record is from Rfam by way of RNAcentral. Lineage: Eukaryota; Metazoa; Chordata; Mammalia; Primates; Hominidae.